This 73-nucleotide transfer RNA is filed under the name Thermonema lapsum. It matches the Rfam family "tRNA". Rfam says of the family: Transfer RNA (tRNA) molecules are approximately 80 nucleotides in length. Their secondary structure includes four short double-helical elements and three loops (D, anti-codon, and T loops). Further hydrogen bonds mediate the characteristic L-shaped molecular structure. tRNAs have two regions of fundamental functional importance: the anti-codon, which is responsible for specific mRNA codon recognition, and the 3' end, to which the tRNAs corresponding amino acid is attached (by aminoacyl-tRNA synthetases). tRNAs cope with the degeneracy of the genetic code in two manners: having more than one tRNA (with a specific anti-codon) for a particular amino acid; and 'wobble' base-pairing, i.e. permitting non-standard base-pairing at the 3rd anti-codon position. RNAcentral also lists the same sequence under 2 other names. Lineage: Bacteria; Pseudomonadati; Bacteroidota; Cytophagia; Cytophagales; Thermonemataceae. The record is from Rfam by way of RNAcentral.
UGGCCGAUGGUGUAAUUGGCAACACGUCUCACUUUGGCUGAGAAGAGUCCAGGUUCGAGCCCUGGUCGGCCAA